RNAcentral lists this ribosomal RNA (253 nucleotides) under uncultured bacterium. Its description in RNAcentral is "partial 16S ribosomal RNA". It matches the Rfam family "Bacterial small subunit ribosomal RNA", at positions 524 to 776 of the family's 1533-position model. The record is from RNAcentral.
UACGUAGGGUGCAAGCGUUAAUCGGAAUUACUGGGCGUAAAGCGUGCGUAGGUGGUUCGUUAAGUCUGUCGUGAAAGCCCCGGGCUCAACCUGGGAAUGGCGAUGGAUACUGGCGGGCUAGAGUGCGGUAGAGGAAGGUGGAAUUCCCGGUGUAGCAGUGAAAUGCGUAGAUAUCGGGAGGAACACCAGUGGCGAAGGCGGCCUUCUGGACCAGUACUGACGCUCAUGCACGAAAGCGUGGGGAGCAAACAGG